Molecule: RNA transcript, 1695 nt
Organism: Cannabis sativa
Lineage: Eukaryota; Viridiplantae; Streptophyta; Magnoliopsida; Rosales; Cannabaceae
Exons: 7
Source: RefSeq, a predicted model, not a curated record
CAAAUUACACUAUUCACGUCGGUCAACGCUACUGUUCAUAGCGUUGAACGACGUGAAUAGUAACUAAACUAUUGGGCACGUCUAUUUCUAAAUGACACUAAUAAUACAGAAUUUGCGUCAUUUACUAAAGUGACGGUAAAAACAAAACUGACGAUAAUUGGCAAAAAUUGUGAAACAAUUCGCUCCCUUUUGCGUCUGUUAUAAACACUCAAAUAUUGUGUUUAUGAGGUUUAAAAAUUGAUUGUAACAUAGACAUUUGAGAGUGAAUAACCAUAUAUUCCUAUACCUUCACUUUGCAAUCAGAUUUUACUCAUCCCAUUUUGCGAUAAAGGGCUCUGGCGAUCGAAACGGUGACCCCCUCUUCAAGUUCUUCUCCUUCUUGAACUGAUUGUGACUUCGUCUUCUUCAUCCCGUCCAGGAGUAAUGGGAAGUCUUGGAGUUAGAGGGAAAGAUAACCUCUAACAGAUUGAAUUAGAGGGUUUUGAAUUGGGCCUCUUUAUCUUCCUUUGAUUUCAUCUAGAUCCCUCAUCAAUAGUGGUUUAUUCUCCAACACAACCAAAAUCUACAAAUUAGUGCUUGUGAUACUGCUUAGCGUGGUCACUCUUGUUCUCUUUGCCCAGUUCGUGACUUCGUCUUCUUCAGUGAGUUUGAGAGCUUCGAAACCCCUCUCGUACAUUUCAAAACCCCAAUCUCUUUCCUUUAAUCGAUCCAUCGACGCCUUUCUAGUAGCCUCAGAAAUCAUCAGCAGUGGGCCUUGGUGGUCUUUCUGGUGUUAUUGCUUAGGUGCAAUACAUCUCUGAUGAUUGAUUAUUGCCAAACCGAGGGUAAACAUAGCUAUAUUUUGAUUGAUGUUGGGAAAACAUUUAGGGAGCAAGUACUUCGAUGGUUCUCUCUCUAUAAGAUUCCUAGGGUGGAUUCGAUUAUUUUGACGCAUGAACAUGCUGACGCAGUUCUUGGUUUGGAUGAUAUACGUGCUAUUCAACAACAUAGUCCAACAAAUAAUAUUGAUCCCACUCCCAUUUAUUUGACUCAGUAUGCAAUGUACAGACAUCCAGGGUUAAAUUAUACAUGCAUUGAAACUGAAGUUAAAAUUCUGACAUUGAAGAAUAUAUAGAGACCGUAAAGUUGUAGCUUGUAUGUGCAUUAAUAUGUGCUACACUGCCGUUAAAAUUCUGACAUUGAAGAAUACAUAGAGACCGUAAAGCUAUGGAUAAAGGUGUUAUGCUUAACCGAAAUAAGGUGCAUAGAGCUUGUGCAGAGAGAUAAAUUCUUGACAUGUUGGAUCACCCUUUUCUUCCAGCAUUAUAUGCUUCAUUUCAGAAUAUAUAGCUCUGCUGGCCACUACAGUUUGAUGAUGUUGGAUCUAGUCGGACAAAGUUCAAGUUAGACGUUCCUUAUAGUAACAAGGAGAUCAAUGCCAUACGGGAUGAGCGGCCCGAAUUUGUGAAGCCUUUGAUUAUAGAUUAAGUACUUAAGGUUACUACUUUUGUUAUAAUACAUAAGUAACAAGUUUUAUGAUUAUUGUUAUCUUUUGCAUAUGUUAUUAGUUUAUAUUUAGUUUACGAUAUACAUAGAAUUUAAGUUUUAGAAUCAAUUUUAUUAACAAUUUUGGUGUUGUGUGAUUAGUUAAUAGAAUCAAUUACUAAUUUUAUGUAAGUUUUAAAAAUGUUAUUUUAAUUUUUUUUUUUUGUAUUA